CAUUAAGAAGCUUGUAGCACUAGCCUUUUAAGCUAGAGAUUGGAAGUUUAAAUAUUCCCUUAAUGA
RNAcentral lists this transfer RNA (66 nucleotides) under Eptesicus fuscus (big brown bat). Its description in RNAcentral is "tRNA-Lys". It matches the Rfam family "tRNA". From Rfam's summary of the family: Transfer RNA (tRNA) molecules are approximately 80 nucleotides in length. Their secondary structure includes four short double-helical elements and three loops (D, anti-codon, and T loops). Further hydrogen bonds mediate the characteristic L-shaped molecular structure. tRNAs have two regions of fundamental functional importance: the anti-codon, which is responsible for specific mRNA codon recognition, and the 3' end, to which the tRNAs corresponding amino acid is attached (by aminoacyl-tRNA synthetases). tRNAs cope with the degeneracy of the genetic code in two manners: having more than one tRNA (with a specific anti-codon) for a particular amino acid; and 'wobble' base-pairing, i.e. permitting non-standard base-pairing at the 3rd anti-codon position. The record is from RNAcentral. Lineage: Eukaryota; Metazoa; Chordata; Mammalia; Chiroptera; Vespertilionidae.